UGCAAGUCGAGCGAACAGAUGAGAAGCUUGCUUCUCUGAUGUUAGCGGCGGACGGGUGAGUAACACGUGGGUAACCUACCUAUAAGACUGGGAUAACUCCGGGAAACCGGGGCUAAUACCUGAUAAUAUUUUGAACCGCAUGGUUCGAUAGUGAAAGGCGGCUUCGGCUGUCACUUAUAGAUGGACCCGCGCCGUAUUAGCUAGUUGGUAAGGUAAUGGCUUACCAAGGCGACGAUACGUAGCCGACCUGAGAGGGUGAUCGGCCACACUGGAACUGAGACACGGUCCAGACUCCUACGGGAGGCAGCAGUAGGGAAUCUUCCGCAAUGGGCGAAAGCCUGACGGAGCAACGCCGCGUGAGUGAUGAAGGUUUUCGGAUCGUAAAACUCUGUUGUUAGGGAAGAACAAAUUUGUUAGUAACUGAACAAGUCUUGACGGUACCUAACCAGAAAGCCACGGCUAACUACGUGCCAGCAGCCGCGGUAAUACGUAGGUGGCAAGCGUUAUCCGGAAUUAUUGGGCGUAAAGCGCGCGUAGGCGGUUUCUUAAGUCUGAUGUGAAAGCCCACGGCUCAACCGUGGAGGGUCAUUGGAAACUGGGGAACUUGAGUGCAGAAGAGGAGAGUGGAAUUCCAUGUGUAGCGGUGAAAUGCGCAGAGAUAUGGAGGAACACCAGUGGCGAAGGCGGCUCUCUGGUCUGUAACUGACGCUGAUGUGCG
This 718-nucleotide ribosomal RNA is filed under the name Staphylococcus sp. Y44-MSE-E14. RNAcentral describes it as "bacterial SSU rRNA". It matches the Rfam family "Bacterial small subunit ribosomal RNA", at positions 56 to 755 of the family's 1533-position model. The record is from RNAcentral. RNAcentral also lists the same sequence under 2 other names. Lineage: Bacteria; Bacillati; Bacillota; Bacilli; Caryophanales; Staphylococcaceae.